GACGAACGCUGGCGGCGUGCUUAACACAUGCAAGUCGAACGGUGAGGCUUUGCUCUUGUAGGGUGCUCGAGUGUCGAACGGGUGAGUAUCACGUGAGUAACCUCCCCUUGACUUUGGGAUAACUUCAUUAAACUGGGUCUAAUACCGGAUAUGAGCUCCUGCUUUAUGUUGGGUUUUGUAAAGAUUCGGCGGUUGGGGAUGGACUCGUGGCUUAUCAUCUUGUUGGUGGGUUAGUGGCUUACCAAGGCAUUGACGGGUCGCCGGACUGAGAGGGUGACAGGGCACAGAGGGACUGAGAUACGAGCCAGACGGAUACGGGAGGAAGGAGUGGGGAAUAGUGCACGAAGGGCGGAAGGAGGAAGGAGGGACGCCGCGUGGGAGAGGACGGUCGUAGGGGUGUAAACCGCGUGAGCCUGGGAAGAAGAGUGAGUGACGGUAAUGGAUAAAGAAGCAACGGCUAACUACGUG
RNAcentral lists this ribosomal RNA (468 nucleotides) under uncultured bacterium. RNAcentral describes it as "partial 16S ribosomal RNA". It matches the Rfam family "Bacterial small subunit ribosomal RNA", at positions 28 to 507 of the family's 1533-position model. The record is from RNAcentral.